UGGACCUUCAUCUCCAGGGCUUUUGUUUAUUGACCUUGUCAGCUGCUCCAGAGUUGAUUAUAUCCUUCCUUGGUGUGCUCAGCUCUAGUUUCCACACAUUAACUUUCAAGGGCCACAUUCUUGAAAGACAGGGGAUCAAGAUUAACUCUUCUCCUUCCUUCGAACGGGCAUUUUAAUGCUUUUUGAUUUGCCUCAAAGCCAACAGGAAUGCCGACAAGGUGCAGAACCGAUGUUUCAAGUAUGUAAAGAUUAAGUGAACAAACAGAUAACGAUAAAGGAAUUUCUAUCUUAGAACUAAAGAAAAAAGAAGCAAGAAAUGAAAAGAAUCUGAGAAUGAUCCACAUGGAAAUCUCUUAAUCCUCUUUCUUCCCAACCAAACAUGGGAAUAUGAAUUCAGACCUGAAGACAGUUCCUACUUCGUUUUUUGGCAGAGGUGGAGAACAGAAAAGAAAUGCUAGGUAAAAUGCAGAAGAAAAGGACUACAAUCUGAAAAAUGUUUCCAUUGUCCUCCCUUGUGGAAACCCAUCUACUGACUCAGAGCUGAGCCAAAUAGGGAAAGUUUUUAGUGGUUCAGGAAAAAUGAGUCACAACUCACAAACCAUCUUUUAUGCAGAGAAAUCUGAACGCGGUGUUUGUUUUGAAAAAAAAACUAUGGUACUUCACCGAGAUAAGAUGUGGAAACUAUUUCAACUUACAGGAUUCUAGGAACCCUUGUGAGCUGAAGGGCUGGUGUUCACAAUUCUAAUUUCUAGUUGUUAAGAAAUAAAACUUUCACAAUGGU
Molecule: long non-coding RNA, 781 nt
Organism: Pantherophis guttatus
Lineage: Eukaryota; Metazoa; Chordata; Lepidosauria; Squamata; Colubridae
Source: RefSeq, a predicted model, not a curated record